RNAcentral lists this ribosomal RNA (468 nucleotides) under uncultured bacterium. Its description in RNAcentral is "partial 16S ribosomal RNA". It matches the Rfam family "Bacterial small subunit ribosomal RNA", at positions 28 to 507 of the family's 1533-position model. The record is from RNAcentral.
GAUGAACGCUGGCGGCGUGCUUAAUACAUGCAAGUCGAACGGAAAGGCGCUGCUCUUGCGGGGUGGUCGAGUGGCGAACGGGUGAGUAACACGCGAGUAACAUGCACUUGUAUUUGUGGGAACUUCAGGAAACUGGGGCUAAUACCGGAUAGGAGAUCUUGAUGCACGGGGGGGGUUGGAAAGUUUCGGCGGUUGGGGAUGGUAUCGCGGCUUAUGAGCUUGUUGGUGGGGUAGGGGCUGACCAGGGGUUUGAAGGGUAGCCGGCCUGAGAGGGUGACCGGCGACAUUGGGACUGAGAUAGGGACCAGACGCCAACGUGAGGCAGCAGUCGAGAGUAUUGCACAAUGGGCGGACGCCUGAUGCAGCAACGCCGCGUGCGGGAUGACGGCCUUUGGGUUGUAAACCACUUUCGCCUGUAACGAAGCGUGCUUGACGGUAAUGGGUAAAGAAGCACCGGCUAACUACGUG